RNAcentral lists this unclassified non-coding RNA (237 nucleotides) under Hevea brasiliensis (rubber tree). Lineage: Eukaryota; Viridiplantae; Streptophyta; Magnoliopsida; Malpighiales; Euphorbiaceae. The record is from RNAcentral.
UCAAUGAAAUUUCAGACAGCAGGCUAAUGAGCGGAUAGAAGGGCGUGUGAUGCCUAGAUACACAAAACUCAAUUUUCCCUCGUUUGAUGGCUUCGAUGAUCCGCGAUACAAUGACUUGGCUCGACAACUUUCCGAGCUGGUUCGAACCUUUAAAAGAGGAAUAAAUCAUAACCCAGAUGGAACAAGUAGUAGUCAACAAAAUUUCAGCCAGCAGGCUAAUGAGCAGAUUAAAAGGUG